ACCCGCUGAACUUAAGCAUAUCAAUAAGCGGAGGAAAAGAAACCAACAGGGAUUGCCUCAGUAACGGCGAGUGAAGCGGCAAGAGCUCAAAUUUUAAAUCUGGCACCAGCCCGAGUUGUAAUUUGAAGAGUUUGUCACGGCUGCGGCCUCGGUCCAAGUUUCUUGGAACAGAACGUCAUGGAGGGUGAGAAUCCCGUCAGACUGCUGGCCUACGCCAUGUGUGGCAUUAUUCGAAGAGUCGAGUUGUUUGGGAAUGCAGCUCAAAACGGGUGGUAGAUUUCCAUCUAAAGCUAAAUACUGGCGAGAGACCGAUAGCGCACAAGUAGAGUGAUCGAAAGAUGAAAAGCACUUUGAAAAGAGAGUUAAAUAGUACGUGAAAUUGUUGAAAGGGAAGCGCUUGCGAUCAGACUCGCCCGCGGUUGAUCAACGUUCCUUCUGGUUCGUGCACUCUGCCGCGGGCGGGCCAGCAUCGGUUGGGACGGCGGGACAAAGGCGCCGGGAAUGUGGCUCUUCGGAGUGUUAUAGCCCGGCGUGCAAUGCCGCCUGCCCCGACCGAGGUCCGCGCUUCGGCUAGGAUGCUGGCUUAAUGGUCGUAAGCAACCCGUCUUGAAACACGG
This 617-nucleotide ribosomal RNA is filed under the name Orbilia coccinella. Its description in RNAcentral is "eukaryotic LSU rRNA". It matches the Rfam family "Eukaryotic large subunit ribosomal RNA", at positions 23 to 664 of the family's 3401-position model. Lineage: Eukaryota; Fungi; Ascomycota; Orbiliomycetes; Orbiliales; Orbiliaceae. The record is from RNAcentral.